Long non-coding RNA from Bufo bufo (common toad), 247 nucleotides. RefSeq lists it as uncharacterized. The record is from RefSeq and is a predicted model, not a curated record. NCBI's taxonomy places the organism in Eukaryota, Metazoa, Chordata, Amphibia, Anura, Bufonidae. The transcript is spliced from 3 exons.
CUGCCGGGGCUCGCUCACCAGUGCUGGAAUCGCCAGCGUCCAGGGGAGGUGGACCAAGCCCGGACCGGGGCUGUCAAGAACAAUCUGCACCUAGAGCCACCAGCGAGGAUCCCCCAGUCGCCUCCAGAGUCCGCGGGAAUGAGCGUGGCGGUUGUAGACGUGGUUCCGUAGGCUCCACCAGGGAAGAUGAGGAGUUCGGGGUUCCUACCAUAGAUAACCUGCUCCUCAUCCAACUGAUGGAGGCGCG